GGCAGAGUGGGGUUCCAAAAACCCAGGCUCUUAAUGUAUAUCUGUCUCUAUAAAUCAUACAGUUAAUAUAAUUAUCAGGAUGUAGAGGCCUAGGUAAGAAAAGAUAUUUUGCAUUAAUGGUGCUUUUUUUUUUAAAAAAAAAAAAAAACAGGCAACAUUCAGCUUGGUACAUGCUUUCUACAAGAUUCCGGCACAGGCUUCCAGAAUUCAAUUGGGAUAAAGUUAAAAGUUUCAGUUCAAAAAAACCUGAAGUUUUCUCUGAAGCUGUGUUUCAGAAAUCAGGUCAGGACUUCCUUCCUUGCCUACAAUUCAUCUCAGACCUCAGGAGAUAAACAGCAGCUUGAGCAGUAACACAGCAACCCCAAGGAUGACGAUCAGCGUAAUAAAUAAUACUUACAACGUUUGAACCCUUGUGCCACUAGGAAAAAAAGAAAAGAAAAUACUCAUUGUCUCUAAUGGUAGAAAUAUCAUAUCUGUGCACAUAUUCACCUCAGCCCCAAUAUAAUUCUUUUAAGGCUGCCAAGCUCUGAGACCCAGAAAUGGUGAGUCACUCAGGAGGGUUGAGAGGGUGGGGGUGGGGGGGAACAAAGAUAAAAAUAGAGAUGUUGAUUGCAUUGUUACUAAUUCAGUUUAGCUCCAACAGCCCCAGCCUGGUGAGUCAACAGCAGCGACAAGAAGACAUAAGAAAGAAAGCACGCUGCUCUGUGGGGCUGAGCAGAGGGGAAGCAGAGGGCCACACUGGGAACUUCACGCCAAAACAAGACCAACAGCAUAGAGGCGGUGGUGUUUGGCUUAGGGGAGCCAGGCGUGAUGUCUGGAGUCAUUUAUGAUUGGCUGGAUUUGCAAGACUAGGCCUCCAUUUGCUUCUACCUCUUCAAGGACGUUUUCUUCCACUUGGGCUGUAUUGCCAACAAGUUAAGUCGUCACAGGUAGUUAUGACUAUUUCUAAACACCCAAGUGUUCUCAGAGCUAGGAUUAAUUAUGAAAGCAGGAUUAAUAUAAAUAUUGAGAUAUAACGAGGUAGCUUUCUUACAAAUUCUCGACUCAGAGUUUUCUCCACUCUAAUCCUUCUGAGGUUUGAAGAGUUUCUUCAACUGGUUCUGAGUGUUUACCUUUGAUACUGUAUGUCAAAAUUAGGGGACACACAGAGUCCUCCUCUGCUGCUGUUUUCUGACAUGCUGAACAAUCUGCUCAUUUUCUUCUGCUCUGACUCCUCUGGUAAGAGUGUAUUUUGAUGACUUGGACUUUCUCAUUUGGGCAAUGGUGCUGUGCUCAGCACUCUAAUACCCUAACUUUCUCCCCCUUUUUCACCUCUAGUAUAAUGAAGCAAUGACCUUCUCUCCAUCCACAGGGCUGUGCCAAGAUAUGAUGCAUGCGCUCAGGACAGCAGUACAGAUCUCUGACACGCCAUUUUUCUCACGGGGAAAAUGUUUGUCAGCCCCUUGGCCAACUUAUUUGGAGAUUCCGGCAAUGAAGGGGCUGUCACGCAAGUGGCACAGAGACCUCUGCUUCUCUUUGAAAGAGACUGCUUUUGAAGGAACACAAAACUGCAGUAAUACCGGCUUGUGUUAGAAUACAACUUCACAUAAAAUGUGUUUCCAGGAAAAGAAGAAAAUUGAAGAGAAACCUGAAGUUGUUUCAAGACUGAUGCUGAGCUAUCCUAUCACUCGUUUCCCUGGAACUUGGGCUGAUGAGAGAAAGUAUCUCUUCCAUUGUCACAAUUUUCUCUAGGUUAUUUCUGAAAGUCUUUACUCUUGUUUCAGGGAUGGGAAACAACAACAACAACCAACCAAACAAACAAAAACCUUGUUUUCUACUUCAUUAAACCAAAUAUCCAAGCUCAAGUUGUUUACGUUCUCAAUCCCCUUAAAAUAUUGACAUCAUAUGUAGUUUUUUAUUCUGAGUAUUUUCACUUAUUAUAUCAUGGAUGUCCCCCAUGUUCUUAAACACUCUUCUAAAAAACUUUAAUAGCUUUGAAAUAUUCUUUCAGUUGAGUGUAUCAUAAUUUGUUUAGCCAGUCCUCUAAUUUUGGUCUUACAGGGUUUUUUUUGUAAUUUUUUUUAACCAUUAAAUAAUGCUGCUAUAAUAAUGCUAAGUAACACCCAUAUAUAUACAUAUAUAUUUUUUCUUUCAUCUCAUUUCAGAUCAUGUUCUUAACAUAAAUUUCCUUAAGUAUAAUUGGUGCGCCAGGGGAUAGAUAGGGUUACCUCCAAGGACUUCCCUCCACAUACUGCUAAAUUGUUCUAGGCCUAUUUCCCAUGUGUGAAAUGUUUGGUGACACUGCUUGAAGGUUUCUAUGAGAAAACCCAUUAUCAAAUUGACUGGAAGCAGCAAUUUCUGUUAUCAAAGUAAAUCUAUUGUUAUCAUUAUCGGAAUGGAUUAUUUUGUUUGCCUGAAUGGAGCUGAUCACUGAGUUUCACUUUAAGUUAAUUAGAUGAACUAUCAAUUGCAAAGGUUGUGAAACACAGGUAUUAGGCAACAAGCUCAUCUAAGCAAGGGAGGCCCUGCUGCAAGGCCUGUCUUUCUACCAUCACCACCCCCUGCAGGACAACAGCAGAGGUUGAGAGCAGGGGAGUCACGAAACAUGGCCUGGCUGGUAGAUCGGCCAUUUCUGAGUUCAAGGCCUGACGCUGUACCCUGGUAGCUGGGUAACUGCGAGCCAGGCUCCUUUUUCUCCUCUACGUAAUUUAGGUAAUAGUGCCUUAAUUCGAAGGAAGUAUGAGGAUUAAGUGGGAAAAGACACUUAUCACAGUCCUAGGUGAAUGGUAAGCAUCCAGGAAGCACUUAUUUUUCAAAAUUAUUAAUUCCCAUUUCACAAUUGUCUAUGGAACUUCAAUAUUUGGAGAGUAGGUGAAAGGGGAAAUAAACCAACUAAUUGGGACCAGAAGUUUCUAAACUUCACACAGCGUUCUUAGCCUUUUGUGUCGGUAAGGUCAUUGAAAGUCAAUAUCAUCAUCAUCGUUAUCAUCACCAUCACCACCAUGGUGUAAACAAGGCAGUAGGGGCUUCAGAGACAAAGGCUCUGGGAGACGAGCACCUCCCACUCUGCCCUUGGUCAUGAUUUCCUUCCUUCCUCCUUUUUUCC
Mustela putorius furo (domestic ferret) is the source of this 3085-nucleotide long non-coding RNA. The record is from Ensembl. NCBI's taxonomy places the organism in Eukaryota, Metazoa, Chordata, Mammalia, Carnivora, Mustelidae.